GAUAAUGAUGUAUGGUUAAAGCA
Molecule: non-coding RNA, 23 nt
Filed under: Arabidopsis thaliana (thale cress)
Lineage: Eukaryota; Viridiplantae; Streptophyta; Magnoliopsida; Brassicales; Brassicaceae
Source: RNAcentral